CCUACGGGAGGCAGCAGUGGGGAAUUUUGGACAAUGGGCGCAAGCCUGAUCCAGCAAUGCCGCGUGAGUGAAGAAGGCCUUCGGGUUGUAAAGCUCUUUUGUCAGGGAAGAAACGGUGGGGGCUAAUAUCCCCUGCUAAUGACGGUACCUGAAGAAUAAGCACCGGCUAACUACGUGCCAGCAGCCGCGGUAAUACGUAGGGUGCAAGCGUUAAUCGGAAUUACUGGGCGUAAAGCGUGCGCAGGCGGUUUUGUAAGUUUGUCGUGAAAUCCCCGGGCUCAACCUGGGAAUGGCGAUGAAGACUGCAAGGCUAGAAUCUGGCAGAGGGGGGUAGAAUUCCACGUGUAGCAGUGAAAUGCGUAGAGAUGUGGAGGAACACCGAUGGCGAAGGCAGCCCCCUGGGUCAAGAUUGACGCUCAUGCACGAAAGCGUGGGGAGCAAACAGGAUUAGAUACCCUGGUAGUCCACGCCCUAAACGAUGUCUACUAGUUGUCGGGUUUUAAUUAACUUGGUAACGCAGCUAACGCGUGAAGUAGACCGCCUGGGGAGUACGGUCGCAAGNUUAAAACUUAAAUGAAUUGACGG
Molecule: ribosomal RNA, 585 nt
Filed under: uncultured bacterium
Lineage: Bacteria
Description: bacterial SSU rRNA
Rfam family: Bacterial small subunit ribosomal RNA
Source: RNAcentral